This 577-nucleotide small RNA is filed under the name Pongo abelii (Sumatran orangutan). Its description in RNAcentral is "processed transcript". The record is from RNAcentral. Lineage: Eukaryota; Metazoa; Chordata; Mammalia; Primates; Hominidae.
GAGAGUUUGUGGAAGAUGGCGCCUGUUGUGACAGGUCAUUGAAAUUAUGAGACUAUCAUUCAAAUGGAAGCAUUAUAGUUCUUCGGAACCAUUAUGAUCUCAAAAGGAAAGGAGAAUGAUACAGAUACACUGGCUGAGGUGUUUUGAGGUGCAUCGAAGUGUUCCAAGCUGUGACUUACCUUAACAUGUUCUUGAAGUACCAUGGCGUGGAUUAAAAGGAAAUUUGGUGAGCGGCCUCCACCUAAACGACUUACUAAGGAAGCUAUGCGAAAUUAUUUAAAAGAGCGAGGGGAUCAAACAGUACUUAUUCUUCAUGCAAAAGUUGCACAGAAGUCAUAUGGAAAUGAAAAAAGAGUGACCUGGAACUGGGCCCACUACCUUGGCUGUGACCUUUAUAUCCUUGGCCUCAGUGUUUUUUUGCCCUCCUCCUUGUGUAUAUCUUAUGGGCAGUGGAUGGAAGAAAAAAAAAGAACAAAUGGAACGCGAUGGUUGUUCUGAACAAGAGUCUCAACCGUGUGCAUUUAUUGGGAUAGGAAAUAGUGACCAAGAAAUGCAGCAGCUAAACUUGGAAGGAAAG